Molecule: ribosomal RNA, 512 nt
Filed under: uncultured bacterium
Lineage: Bacteria
Description: partial 16S ribosomal RNA
Rfam family: Bacterial small subunit ribosomal RNA
Source: RNAcentral
GAUGAACGCUGGCGGCGUGCUUAACACAUGCAAGUCGAACGGAACUGCUUUAUUACCGCGGGCUGCCACUGACCGAUAAGGGGGUGAGUCACGAGAGGGUGCGCAACACGUGGGCAACCUGCCCCAAAGAGGGGGAUAAUACUUCGAAACAGGUGCUCAUGCCGCAUAGCGAUCGUUAGAGCAUGGUCACUAUGUGAAAGGUAGCUAUGCUUCCGCAGUUGGUUGGGGCGGUGGCGCAUUAGCUAGUUGGUAGGGUAAAGGCUUACCAAGCGGAUGAUGCGUAGCCGAAGGGAGAGGUGGAUCGGCGACAUUGGGACUGAGACACGGCCCAGACUCCUACGGGAGGCAGCAGUGGGGAAUGUUCGACAAUGGGGGAAAACCUGAUGGAGCCAGGCCGCGUGUGUGAAGAAGGCCUUCGGAUCGUAAAACCCUGUUGUUAGGGAAGAAAGUCUUUGGGCUAAUACGAUGAGGGGUUGACGGUACCGGAUAAAGAAGCACCGGCUAACUACGUG